GCAGUCGAGGGGCAGCGGGACACUUCGGUGUUGCCGGCGACCGGCGGACGGGUGCGUAAUGCGCAUGCAAUCUACUUUACACUGGGGAAUAGCCUCCGGAAACGGGAAUUAAUACCCCAUAUAAUCUUAUUAGCGCAUGUUAAAAAGAUGAAAGCUCCGGCGGUGUAAAAUGAGCGUGCGUCCUAUUAGCUAGUUGGUGAGGUAAUGGCUCACCAAGGCUACGAUGGGUAGGGGUUCUUAGUGGAAGGUCCCCCACACUGGCACUGAGAUACGGGCCAGACUCCUACGGGAGGCAGCAGUAGGGAAUAUUGGUCAAUGGGCGCAAGCCUGAACCAGCCAUGCCGCGUGCAGGAUGAAGGCUCUCUGAGUUGUAAACUGCUUUUGUACAGGAGCAAAAAAAUCCCUGCGGGGGUUCUUGAGAGUACUGUAAGAAUAAGCACCGGCUAAUUCCGUGCCAGCAGCCGCGGUAAUACGGGAGGUGCAAGCGUUAUCCGGUUUUAUUGGGUUUAAAGGGUGCGUAGGCGGCUUAUUAAGUCAGUUGUGAAAUCCUAGUGCUUAACGCUAGAACUGCGAUUGAUACUAUUAGGCUUGAGUUAAGAAGAGGUAAGUAGAAUUUAUGGUGUAGUAGUGAAAUGCUUAGAUAUCAUAAGGAAUACCAAUAGCGUAGGCAGCUUACUGGUCUUUAACUGACGCUGAGGCACGAAAGCGUGGGGAGCAAACAGGAUUAGAUACCCUGGUAGUCCACGCUGUAAACGAUGAUCACUCGAUAUACAUGAACUUUCGUGUGUGUCUAAGCGA
This 798-nucleotide ribosomal RNA is filed under the name Cardinium endosymbiont of Bemisia tabaci. RNAcentral describes it as "bacterial SSU rRNA". It matches the Rfam family "Bacterial small subunit ribosomal RNA", at positions 57 to 854 of the family's 1533-position model. The record is from RNAcentral. Lineage: Bacteria; Pseudomonadati; Bacteroidota; Cytophagia; Cytophagales; Amoebophilaceae.